RNA transcript from Helianthus annuus (common sunflower), 1897 nucleotides. It is a transcript of the gene named chalcone synthase, with no coding region annotated. The record is from RefSeq and is a predicted model, not a curated record. Lineage: Eukaryota; Viridiplantae; Streptophyta; Magnoliopsida; Asterales; Asteraceae. The transcript has 8 exons.
UAACAACCCUUCUCCAUACCCCACCCUAUCAGCCCAAACCCUCCCCUUUAAUGUCUUCCACUCUUUACCCCCCUCAUUGUCCUACAACACAUCUCUUUCUAUCCUUCUACUCCUCUCUGGCUUCUUUCACAACAGCCUCAAAACAAAACCCAAGAGAUUACAAGUGUUCAUUAUGGUCAUCCAAGCUCACACAACCAACCAUACUAUCAUUUCAUCAACAUAAGCCACUCUUGGUGUGAAGUCUCUUGAAGUUGUUCAUCUAGCAGCAAUGCAACAUCCAAGUUUCGGACCGUUUGGUUAUUUUGGAGUUGUCACAGAAAAGGAGGCUGGUCUCUAAGCUGCAACCCGCAACUCUUUUGCAAGGAGAUCAAGUUAGACGAAUAUGGCAUCGUUUCAGAAGAUCGUAGAUGUUGAAACAAUCAGAGAGACCCAACGAGCACGAGGUCUAGCCACCAUUCUUGCCAUUGGCACCGCAACUCCUUACAAUUGUAUUUAUCAAGCUGAUUACCCUGACUAUUAUUUCCGCGUUACUAAAAGCGAGCAUAUGAUUAAUCUGAAAGAGAAGUUUAAACGUAUUUGUGACAAAACGAUGAUCAAGAAGCGAUUCAUGUUCCUAACGGAAGAGUUUCUGAAGGAAAAUCCCAACAUGUGUGAGUACAUGAGUCCGUCUCUGAACACUCGCCAAGACUUGUUGAUCACCGCAAUCCCAAAGCUCGGCAAGGAAGCCGCCACCAAAGCCAUCGAAGAGUGGGGAGUCUCAAAAUCUAAGAUCACCCAUCUCAUCUUUAGCACCACCUCGGGAAUCGACAUGCCUGGUGCUGACUUUCAACUCACCAAGUUACUUGGUCUCUCCCCUUUAGUCAAUCGGCUAAUGAUAUACCAACAGGGUUGUUCGGCAGGGGGCACAGCACAUCGUCUAGCCAAGGACAUUGCCGAAAACAAUAAGAGUUCACGCAUCCUUGUUGUCUGCUCUGAUAGCAUGGCUUCAAUUUUCCGUGGACCUAGUGAGGACCACAUUGAUUCUUUAGUGGGUCAAGCUCCUUUUAGAGAUGGAGCGGCUGCAAUCAUCGUGGGUUCAGACCCGGAUUUAUCGACUGAACAUCCAUUGUUUGAGAUUGUGUCUGCAAAUCAAACAAUUAUACCAGACACUGAGAUGGCUAUGAAGUUACACUUGAGGGAAGAAGGGCUCACAUUCCACUUGCACAAGGAUGUACCCAAGAUGAUCUUUGAGAAUAUAGAGAGCGCGUUAAAGCGGGCCGUUUCUCCACUUGGUCUAAGUGAUUGGAACUCGCUGUUUUGGAUAGUUCAUCCUGGUGGUAGAGCCAUACUCGAUAACGUGGAAUUAAAGCUUGAACUAGAUAAGGAGAAGUUGAGGGCUAGUAGGCAUGUGCUAAGUGAAUAUGGAAACUUGAAUAGUGCAUGUGUGUUGUUCAUCAUCAAUGAGAUAAGAAAUAAAUCUUUGGAAAUUGGAAAAUGUACAACCGGUGAAGGUUUAGAUUGGGGUGUUUUGUUUGGAUUUGGCCCGGGUUUAACAAUCGAAACGAUUGUUCUUCGUAGCCAACCGGUGACUACUCCCAUUGCCGCUAUAACGAAUGGUGCAAAAUAGCUAGUUAAUCAUCCAACUGUUAUUGAUAAGAAAUAGCGGUUAAUUGACCCAAAAGAACACUAUGCCCAUAAAAGGCUCAAAAGGGUUAUGGCCUUCCGCUGAUCAAAAAAUGGAGAUGAAGAUAAUUUCAGUAGGAAUGGAAGUGUCUGUAUAUAUGAUUCAGAAAGGAGCUAACCUGGUAUAAUAUUGAUUGUACUCUUUAAGAUAAAUCAGUUUUGUUGCAACUGUAUGAAAUUAACCAACUAUUGCUAGGCCAAUAAAGAAUUGAACAGAGACGGAAGGGGUUUGUUC